Molecule: ribosomal RNA, 309 nt
Filed under: Triticum aestivum (bread wheat)
Lineage: Eukaryota; Viridiplantae; Streptophyta; Magnoliopsida; Poales; Poaceae
Description: partial small subunit ribosomal RNA
Source: RNAcentral
AUGGGCACAGGCACAUACCUGUUGGAUAAGGAACACUUGCCUAUCUACCCAUACUUUGAGGACAAUCAAGUUGUGAUAAAUGAGAAUGAACCAUCAUCAGUACAAGCUCAAGAGAAGAAGGAGAAAGCAAAGAAAGAGAAGGCUGCCAAGAUGCCAACUCAAGAGGAGGCAUCUGAGUACUUUUUGAAAAGCAAGCAAGAUCAGGUUGGCUACCUGAUUGCAUCCACUCUGAGGAUUGAGAAGGGACUGGCCACCCUGACUCAAAACCAGGAGAGCUUGGAAAGAAUCGUGGAGCAAAAAAUUCUAUGA